Molecule: RNA transcript, 1753 nt
Organism: Mus musculus (house mouse)
Lineage: Eukaryota; Metazoa; Chordata; Mammalia; Rodentia; Muridae
Gene: Tnfsf13b
Gene name: tumor necrosis factor (ligand) superfamily, member 13b
Exons: 7
Source: RefSeq, marked validated
AGAUUGAGCAAUCCAUGGAAGGCCAGAGCCAGAGAACCUACUUCAGGGUAGCAAAAGAUGCAGAAGAAAGUCAGGAGAGCGCUCCUGGGGGAACCCAGCCCUGCCAUGCUCUGAGGGCAGUCUCCCAGGACACAGAUGACAGGAAAUGACCCACCCCUGUGGUCACUUACUCCAAAGGCCUAGACCUUCAAAGUGCUCCUCGUGGAAUGGAUGAGUCUGCAAAGACCCUGCCACCACCGUGCCUCUGUUUUUGCUCCGAGAAAGGAGAAGAUAUGAAAGUGGGAUAUGAUCCCAUCACUCCGCAGAAGGAGGAGGGUGCCUGGUUUGGGAUCUGCAGGGAUGGAAGGCUGCUGGCUGCUACCCUCCUGCUGGCCCUGUUGUCCAGCAGUUUCACAGCGAUGUCCUUGUACCAGUUGGCUGCCUUGCAAGCAGACCUGAUGAACCUGCGCAUGGAGCUGCAGAGCUACCGAGGUUCAGCAACACCAGCCGCCGCGGGUGCUCCAGAGUUGACCGCUGGAGUCAAACUCCUGACACCGGCAGCUCCUCGACCCCACAACUCCAGCCGCGGCCACAGGAACAGACGCGCUUUCCAGGGACCAGAGGAAACAGAACAAGAUGUAGACCUCUCAGCUCCUCCUGCACCAUGCCUGCCUGGAUGCCGCCAUUCUCAACAUGAUGAUAAUGGAAUGAACCUCAGAAACAUCAUUCAAGACUGUCUGCAGCUGAUUGCAGACAGCGACACGCCGACUAUACGAAAAGGUAAUGACCGGCCAUCCUCUGUGUCUGAUUAGGAUUCAGUCCAGCGUGGCUGAUGCUUGAACUUACACAUUUGUUCCAUGGCUUCUCAGCUUUAAAAGAGGAAAUGCCUUGGAGGAGAAAGAGAACAAAAUAGUGGUGAGGCAAACAGGCUAUUUCUUCAUCUACAGCCAGGUUCUAUACACGGACCCCAUCUUUGCUAUGGGUCAUGUCAUCCAGAGGAAGAAAGUACACGUCUUUGGGGACGAGCUGAGCCUGGUGACCCUGUUCCGAUGUAUUCAGAAUAUGCCCAAAACACUGCCCAACAAUUCCUGCUACUCGGCUGGCAUCGCGAGGCUGGAAGAAGGAGAUGAGAUUCAGCUUGCAAUUCCUCGGGAGAAUGCACAGAUUUCACGCAACGGAGACGACACCUUCUUUGGUGCCCUAAAACUGCUGUAACUCACUUGCUGGAGUGCGUGAUCCCCUUCCCUCGUCUUCUCUGUACCUCCGAGGGAGAAACAGACGACUGGAAAAACUAAAAGAUGGGGAAAGCCGUCAGCGAAAGUUUUCUCGUGACCCGUUGAAUCUGAUCCAAACCAGGAAAUAUAACAGACAGCCACAACCGAAGUGUGCCAUGUGAGUUAUGAGAAACGGAGCCCGCGCUCAGAAAGACCGGAUGAGGAAGACCGUUUUCUCCAGUCCUUUGCCAACACGCACCGCAACCUUGCUUUUUGCCUUGGGUGACACAUGUUCAGAAUGCAGGGAGAUUUCCUUGUUUUGCGAUUUGCCAUGAGAAGAGGGCCCACAACUGCAGGUCACUGAAGCAUUCACGCUAAGUCUCAGGAUUUACUCUCCCUUCUCAUGCUAAGUACACACACGCUCUUUUCCAGGUAAUACUAUGGGAUACUAUGGAAAGGUUGUUUGUUUUUAAAUCUAGAAGUCUUGAACUGGCAAUAGACAAAAAUCCUUAUAAAUUCAAGUGUAAAAUAAACUUAAUUAAAAAGGUUUAAGUGUGAAA